AUUUUGAACAAGGGAGAUUUGAAGGUAUUGCAAGGGAAUUUUAGAAAGUAUAUAGGUUUAACAUUGGGGAAUGCUUUCAUCUUUUUCCCCAACUUUUUGGCCAAGCUGGAGGAUGGACAUCUUUGGAGGAAGCUUUUUGACAAUGUAAAUUUUCAAGCCUUUAUUGGGGAGUGCAUAGGUGUUGGCAAGGGGUGUGGUGACAUUAGAAUGGAAAAGAAAUCUCUUCAUUUGCUUGUAACUGAUAAUGAACUUAUUUAAUAAAAUAAUAAAAAGUCGAUAAUGUUAAAUCAUAAGAAUAAGAUAGUCUUCUUAUUUACCAUCUGUUUGCCAUGUUAACCCCUUUCAACUAGGGGUGUGCAAACGGUCGG
Molecule: unclassified non-coding RNA, 368 nt
Filed under: Hevea brasiliensis (rubber tree)
Lineage: Eukaryota; Viridiplantae; Streptophyta; Magnoliopsida; Malpighiales; Euphorbiaceae
Source: RNAcentral